AAGUGCUGGGAUGUGGUUCUGCUGUGGC
Molecule: non-coding RNA, 28 nt
Filed under: Cricetulus griseus (Chinese hamster)
Lineage: Eukaryota; Metazoa; Chordata; Mammalia; Rodentia; Cricetidae
Source: RNAcentral